CAUGCAGUCGACGAUGAACCCGCUUGCGGGGGAUUAGUGGCGAACGGGUGAGUAACACGUGAGUAACCUGCCCUUAACUCUGGGAUAAGCCUUGGAAACGGGGUCUAAUACUGGAUAUUGACUUUUCCUCGCAUGGGGAUUGGUUGAAAGAUUUAUUGGUUUUGGAUGGACUCGCGGCCUAUCAGCUUGUUGGUGAGGUAAUGGCUCACCAAGGCGACGACGGGUAGCCGGCCUGAGAGGGUGACCGGCCACACUGGGACUGAGACACGGCCCAGACUCCUACGGGAGGCAGCAGUGGGGAAUAUUGCACAAUGGGCGAAAGCCUGAUGCAGCGACGCCGCGUGAGGGAUGACGGCCUUCGGGUUGUAAACCUCUUUCAGUAGGGAACAAGGCCAGUGUUUAGCUGGUUGAGGGUACUUGCAGAAGAAGCGCCGGCUAACUACGUGCCAGCAGCCGCGGUAAUACGUAGGGCGCAAGCGUUAUCCGGAAUUAUUGGGCGUAAAGAGCUCGUAGGCGGUUUGUCGCGUCUGCCGUGAAAGUCCGGGGCUCAACCCCGGAUCUGCGGUGGGUACGGGCAGACUAGAGUGAUGUAGGGGAGACUGGAAUUUCCUGGUGUAGCGGUGAAAUGCGCAGAU
Molecule: ribosomal RNA, 635 nt
Filed under: Arthrobacter sp. PN14
Lineage: Bacteria; Bacillati; Actinomycetota; Actinomycetes; Micrococcales; Micrococcaceae
Description: bacterial SSU rRNA
Rfam family: Bacterial small subunit ribosomal RNA
Source: RNAcentral